UACGUAGGGUGCGAGCGUUAAUCGGAAUUACUGGGCGUAAAGCGUGCGCAGGCGGUUCGUUAAGUUCGUUGUGAAAGCCCCGGGCUCAACCUGGGAACUGCAAUGGAAACUGGCGGACUUGAAUGCGGCAGAGGGGGGUGGAAUUCCGCGUGUAGCAGUGAAAUGCGUAGAGAUGCGGAGGAACACCGAUGGCGAAGGCAGCCCCCUGGGCCGACAUUGACGCUCAGGCACGAAAGCGUGGGGAGCAAACAGG
This 253-nucleotide ribosomal RNA is filed under the name uncultured bacterium. RNAcentral describes it as "partial 16S ribosomal RNA". It matches the Rfam family "Bacterial small subunit ribosomal RNA", at positions 524 to 776 of the family's 1533-position model. The record is from RNAcentral.